RNAcentral lists this long non-coding RNA (467 nucleotides) under Trifolium pratense (red clover). RNAcentral's name for it is "long non-coding RNA (TPRA_LNC001980)". Lineage: Eukaryota; Viridiplantae; Streptophyta; Magnoliopsida; Fabales; Fabaceae. The record is from RNAcentral.
AACUAACUAGUCUUACAAGUAUGUCAAAUUACAUAUAGUUAUAAAUAUCAAGCUAAGAGUGAUAUAAUGUAUUUAAAGACAUAAAAUGAUAUCCACUAAAUUUACAAAUUUGUUCUGUCAAGAAAAAGAAAAAAGUCUCUAAUCUUCAGUCCUCUUCCAUCUUCAAUAGUCUGGACUUAGAAAAUUGGUUUGCUCAGGGACCAGAAACAUCUAGAACCUAUUGAAAAUAAAAGAAUACAAGUUGGAAACUCAACUUAGCCAAAAGGAAGGAAAAUUUUACAAUGGCACACAAAUUGACAUUAUACACAUCUUAAGUGAACAUUAAACAUUAACCAUAACUGAAGUAUUAAGAGAACCUGGUGAUGGUUACCAAUUCAUCAACCUGUUUGGAUCAAAACCUGCUACUUAUUAGAAACCUGGUGGCAGCUGCAACUUGUAAGCUACUUUUCCCACCCUGUCUANNNNNN